This 422-nucleotide ribosomal RNA is filed under the name uncultured bacterium. RNAcentral describes it as "partial 16S ribosomal RNA". It matches the Rfam family "Bacterial small subunit ribosomal RNA", at positions 360 to 774 of the family's 1533-position model. The record is from RNAcentral.
AAUUUUUGAAAAUGGGGGAAACCCUGAUCCAGCCAGCCCGCGUGUGCGAUGAAGGACAUAGGGAUGUAAAGCACUUUUGGCAGGAAAAAAACGUUCCGGGUUAAUACCCCGGGAAACUGACGACACCUGCAGAAUAAGCACCGGCUAACUACGUGCCAGCAGCCGCGGUAAUACGUAGGGUGCAAGCGUUAAUCGGAAUUACUGGGCAUAAAGCGUGCGCAGGCGGUUCGGAAAGAAAGAUGUGAAAUCCCAGAGCUUAACUUUGGAACUGCAUUUUUAACUACCGAGCUAGAGUGUGUCAGAGGGAGGUGGAAUUCCGCGUGUAGCAGUGAAAUGCGUAGAUAUGCGGAGGAACACCGAUGGCGAAGGCAGCCUCCUGGGAUAACACUGACGCUCAUGCACGAAAGCGUGGGGAGCAAACA